CAAGCAGAUAAGUGAAAUCAUGUGGCUCAACCAUUAUGGCUAUUAUCUGAACUGGCAAACUAGAGAAUAGUAGAGGUAGCUGGAAUUUCUAGUGUAGGAGUGAAAAUCCGUAGAUAUUAGAAGGAACACCAAUGGCGUAGGCAGGCUACUGGACUAUUUCUGACGCUGAAGGCACGAAAGCGUGGGGAGCGAACCGGAUUAGAUACCCGGGUAGUCCACGCUGUAAACGAUGGGAUGCUA
This 240-nucleotide ribosomal RNA is filed under the name uncultured Candidatus Saccharibacteria bacterium. RNAcentral's name for it is "partial 16S ribosomal RNA". It matches the Rfam family "Bacterial small subunit ribosomal RNA", at positions 584 to 818 of the family's 1533-position model. Lineage: Bacteria; Candidatus Saccharimonadota. The record is from RNAcentral.